Molecule: ribosomal RNA, 450 nt
Filed under: uncultured bacterium
Lineage: Bacteria
Description: partial 16S ribosomal RNA
Rfam family: Bacterial small subunit ribosomal RNA
Source: RNAcentral
CCUACGGGUGGCUGCAGUGAGGAAUAUUGGUCAAUGGGCGAAAGCCUGAACCAGCCAUCCCGCGUGCAGGAAGACGGCCCUAUGGGUUGUAAACUGCUUUUCCAGGGGGCGAACAGUAUCGACGUGUCGGUAUUUGACGGUACCCUGGGAAUAAGCAUCGGCUAACUCCGUGCCAGCAGCCGCGGUAAUACGGAGGAUGCGGGCGUUAUCCGGAUUUAUUGGUUUUAAGGGGUAUAAAGAAGUCAAAAUAGAAACCCUGCAGCUUAACUGUAGACUUGCCGUUGAUACUGUUGGUCUUGAGUAUGGUCAAGGUAGGCGGAAUGUGUAAUGUAGCGGUGAAAUGCUUAGAUAUUACACAGAACACCGAUUGCGAAGGCAGCUUGCUGGACCAAUACUGACGCUGAUGCACGAAAGCGUGGGGAUCGAACAGGAUUAGAUACCCCAGUAGUC